CCCAAAAGAGCGCCCCCCCAUGGAAGGAGAAAAAAGUCCAUUUUUUCUUGUCCCGUAAGGUGAAAAUUCACAUUGUUGAGUGUGACACCUGUACGCUUUGUCAUAUUGACACAAAAUUUGACAAUCACGUGUAUCUCAAUAAGAUCUACGAAAAAGUCAAUGGGUGCAUAUCUGUCAAAUGUACGGUUAGAGGGCUAUUUUGCAUUUUUUGCCGAUUCGCACACAUUGGAAUGUGGCUAACUCCACCUAAGGCUUUCGUCCCACUGAAACCAAAUUUGCUCAGGCCAAUCUACACGCCAUGGCCAUUCAAAGUUGUAAAAAUCAGGACGCUGCACCCCACGGUUUACGUUCUAGGGGGCGCCAAAGAUGACCAAAAAAUCCACAUUCUUAAAAGAAUCCACAUUCUCCCCCCCCAUGGCACGAGAAAAAGUCAAGUUUUUCCUGCCCAUCGCUCAAUGGCUCAAUCGCAUCACUCUCCAGGCAACACCGUAAGGAGGAGCAACCUGCCAUUUGGAUAUAUCCCAGCUGUGUUUGUGCCCUCACUCAUGGUCCAGACUUUUUUCAAAUAGGACAUGAAGUUUGUCUGCAGCGAGUGUUUUGGUAGAAACUGCGCCUCCCAUUCAUUAUAAUGGGAAAUGACCACAGACAAGUGCGCACACCAUCUUUGGACCUUGAGUGUGACGCGAUCGGGAGGGGGAGGCGGUCACGCUGGGGGCGGCACGACGCGGCUCGGGCCCGACAGUGCCCCAACGGGGCCCUAGUCUUUGUUAGGGCCCGAGCGUAGCUGCUAAGCAGCUGCGAGAGCCCUAUUAUUCCUGAUGGAUUCUUCUUUCUUCUUUAGGGCCCGAGCGUAGCUGCUAAGCAGCUGCGAGAGCCCUAUUAUUCCUGAUGGAUUCUUCUUUCUUUAGGGCCCGAGCGUAGCUGCUAAGCAGCUGCGAGAGCCCUCUUGUUCCUGCAUGUUUCCUUCUUUCGUUAUUAUUUUUCCUCCGCUUCAAACUGGAAAAUGCCCCACUUCCCACUGGCGAAAACUCAGGACAUUUGGCAGGACGACCGGGCCUGGUGAAAAAUUCGAUAUUCUGAAGUCGCCCAAACAAUAAAAUGCAAAAUGGCUCCAUAGCGCCCCCUAAGGUGAAAAUUCACAUGACGGCUGUACGCUUUGUCAUAUUGACACAAAAAUUGACACACACAUGUAUCUCAAUAAGAUCUACAAAAAAGUCAGUGCGGGCGUAUCUGUCAAAUGUACGGUUAAUGGGUUAUUUUGCAUUUUUUGCAGAUCUGCACACAUUGGAAUUUCGCUAACUCCUCCGAAGGCUUUCGUUUGACCGGCACCACAUUUGCGCAGGCCAAUCUACCCCCCAUGGCCAUUAAAAGUUGUACAAAUCAUGACGCUGCACCCCACGGUUUACGUUCUAGGGGGCGCCAAAGAUAACCCAAAAAUCCACAUUCUUAAAAGUCUUAUAACUUUUUACUUUUGUCCUCACUGGCCUCCAAGUUUUCUAGGAUGAUGCAAUGUCCAGCCAUCAACACAUUUGUGAAGGAAUUUUUACUCGCCAAAAGAGCGCCCCCCAUGGCAGGAGAAAAAAGUCAAUUUUUUCUUGUCCCCUAAGGCGAAUAUACACAUUGUUGAGUGUCACGCCUGUACGCUUUGUCAUAUUGACACAAAAAUUAACACACACAUGUAUCUCAAUAAGAUCUACGAAAAAGUCAAUGUGCGCGUAUCUGUAAAAUGUACAGUUAAAGGGCUAUUUCGCAUUUUUUGCCGAUUCGCACACAUUGGAAUGUGGCUAACUCCUCCUAAAGCUUUCGUCCCAUCGGCACCAAAUUUGCUCAGGCCAAUCUACACCCCAUGGCCAUUCAAAGUUGUACAAAUCAUGACGCUGCAUCCCACGGUUUACGUUCUAGGGGGCGCCAAAGAUGACCCAAAUAUCCACAUUUUUAAAAGUCUUAUAACUUUAUUUUUGUCCUCACUGGCCUCCAAGUUUUCUAGGAUGAUGCAAUGUCCAGCCAUCAACACAUUUGUGAAGGAAUUUUUACUCCCCAAAAGAGCGCCCCCCCAUGGCAGGAGAAAAAAGUCAAUUUUUUCUUGUCCCGUAAGGUGAAAAUUCACAUUGUUGAGUGUGACACCUGUACGCUUUGUCAUAUUGACACAAAAUUUGACAAUCACGUGUAUCUCAAUAAGAUCUACGAAAAAGUCAAUGGGUGCGUAUCUGUCAAAUGUACGGUUAGAGGGCUAUUUUGCAUUUUUUGCCGAUUCGCAUACAUUGGAAUGUGGCUAACUCCUCCUAAGGCUUUCGUUCCACCGGCACCACAUUUGCUCAGGCCAAUCUACACCCCAUGGCCAUUCAAAGUUGUAAAGCUCAGGACGCUGCACCCCACGGUUUAUGUUCUAGGGGGCGCCAAAGAUGACCAAAAAAUCCACAUUCUUAAAAGAAUCCACAUUCUCCCCCCCCAUGGCACGAGAAAAAGUCAAGUUUUUCCUGCCCAUCGCUCAAUGGCUCAAUCGCAUCGCUCUCCAGGCAACACCGUAAGGAGGAGCAACCUGCCAUUUUGAUAUAUUCCAGCUGUGUUUGUGCCCUCACUCAUGGUCCAGACUUUUUUCAAAAAGGACAUGAAGUUUGUCUGCAGCGAGUGUUUUGGUAGAAACUGCGCCUCCCAUUCAUUAUAAUGGGAAAUGACCACAGACAAGUGCGCACACCAUCUUUGGACCUUGAGUGUGACGCGAUCGGGAGGGGGAGGCGGUCACGCUGGGGGCGGCACGACGCGGCUCGGGCCCGACAGUGCCCCACCGGGGCCCUAGUCUUCUUCUUCUUCUUCUUAUUAGGGCCCGAGCGUAGCUGCUAAGCAGCUGCGAGAGCCCUCUUGUUCCUGAUGGAUUCUUCUUUUGUUAUUAUUAUUAUUAGGGCCCGAGCGUAGCUGCUAAGCAGCUGCGAGAGCCCUCUUGUUCCUGAUGGAUUCUUCUUUUGUUAUUAUUAUUAUUACUUUUCCUCCGCUUUAAACUGGAAAAUGGCCCACUUCCCACUGGCGAAAACUCAGGAAAUUUGGCAGGACGACCGGGCCUGGUGAAAAAUUCGAUAUUCUGAAGUCGCCCAAACAAUAAAAUACAAAAUGGCUCCAUAGCGCCCCCUAAGGUGAAAAUUCACACUAUUGACUGUCACGCCUGUACGCUUUGUCAUAUUGACACAAAAAUUGACACACACAUGUAUCUCAAUAAGAUCUACAAAAAAGUCAGUGCGGGCGUAUCUGUCAAAUGUACGGUUAAAGGGUUAUUUCGCAUUUUUUGCAGAUCCGCACACAUUGGAAUUUCGCUAACUCCUCCGAAGGCUUUCGGUCCACCGGCACCACAUUUGCUCAGGCCAAUCUACACUCCAUGGCCAUUCAAAGUUGUACAAAUCAUGAUGCUGCACCCCAUGGUUUAGGUUCUAGGGGGCGCCAAAAAUAACCCUAAAAUCCACAUUCUUAAAAGUUUUAUAACUUUUUAUUUUUGCCCUCACUGGCCUCCAAGUUUUCUAGGAUGAUGCAAUGUCCAGCCAUCAACACAUUUGUGAAGGAAUUUUUACUCCCCAAAAGAGCGCCCCCCCCCCCAUGGCAGGACAAAAAAGUCAAUUUUUUCUUGUCCCCUAAGGUGAAAAUACACAUUGUUGAAUGCCACGCCUGUACGCUUUGUCAUAUUGACACAAAAUUUGACAAUCACGUGUAUCUCAAUAAGAUCUACAAAAAAGUCAACGCGCGCGUAUCUGUAAAAUGUACGGUUAAAGGGCUAUUUCGCAUUUUUUGCCGAUUCGCACACAUUGGAAUGUGGCUAACUCCUCCUAAGGUUUUCGUCCCACUGACACCAAAUUUGCUCAGGCCAAUCUACACCCCAUGGCCAUUCAAAGUUGUAAAAAUCAUGACGCUGCACCCCAUGGUCUACGUUCUAGGGGGCGCCAAAGAGGACCCAAAUAUCCACAUUUUUAAAGUCUUAUAACUUUUUAUUUUUGUCCUCACUGGCCUCCAAGUUUUCUAGGAUGAUGCAAUGUCCAGCCAUCAACACAUUUGUGAAGGAAUUUUUUCUCCCCAAAAGAGCGCCCCCCCAUGGCAGGAGAAAAAGUCAAGUUUUUCCUGCCCAUCGCUCAAUGGCUCAAACGCAUCGCUCUCUCGGCAAAACCGAAAGGAGGAGCAACUUGCCAUUUGGAUAUAUACUAGCUGUGUUUGUGCCCUCACUCAUGGUCCAGACUUUUUUCAAAAAGGACAUGGAGUUUGUCUGCAGCGAGCGUUUUGGUAGAAACUGCGCCUCCCAUUCAUUAUAAUGGUAAAUGACCACAGACAAGUGCGCACACCAUCUUUGGACCUUGAGUGUGACGCGAUCGGGAGGGGUAGGCGGUCGCGCUGGGGGCGGCGUGACACGGCUCGGGCCCGCCAGUGCCCCACCGGGGCCCUAGUUAUUAUUUUUCCUCCGCUUUAAACUGGAAAAUGGCCCACUUCCCACUGGCGAAAACUCAUGAAAUUUGGCAGGACGACCGGGCCUGGUGAAAAAUUCGAUAUUCUGAAGUCGCCCAAACAAGAAAAUGCAAAAUGGCUUAAUAGCGCCCCCAAAGGUGAAAAUUCACACUAUUGACUGUCACGCCUGUACGCUUUGUCAUAUUGACACAAAAAUUGACACACACAUGUAUCUCAAUAAGAUCUACAAAAAAGUCAGUGCGGGCGUAUCUGUCAAAUGUACGGUUAAAGGGUUAUUUCGCAUUUUUUGCCGUUCCGCACACAUUGGAAUUUCGCUAACUCCUCCGAAGGCUUUCGUUCCACCAGCACUACAUUUGCUCAGGCCAAUCUACACCCCAUGGCCAUUGAAAGUUGUACAAAUCAUGACGCUGCACCCCACGGUUUACGUUCUAGGGGGCGCCAAAGAUAACCCACAAAUCCACAUUCUUAAAAAUCUUAUAACUUUUUAUUUUUGUCCUCAUUGGCCUCCAAGUUUUCUAGGAUGAUGCAAUGUCCAGCCAUCAACACAUUUGUGAAGGAAUUUUUACUCCCCAAAACAGCGCCCCCCCCCAUGGCAGGACAAAAAAGGCCAUUUUUUCUUGUCCCCUAAGGUGAAAAUACACAUUGUUCAAUGUCACGCCUAUACGCUUUGUCAUAUUGACACAAAAUUUGACACACACGUGUAUCUCAAUAAGAUCUACGAAAAAGUCAAUGGGCACAUAUCUGUAAAAUGUACAAUUAAAGGGCUAUCUUGCAUUUUUUGCCGAUUCGCACACAUUGGAAUGUGGCUAACUCCUCCUAAGGCUUUCGUUCUACUGACACCAAAUUUGCUCAGGCCAAUCUACACCCCAUGGCCAUUCAAAGUUGUACAAAUCAUGACGCUGCACCCCACGGUUUAGGUUCUAGGGGGCGCCAAAGAUGACCCAAAUAUCCACAUUUCUAAAAGUCUUAUAACUUUUUAUUUUUGUCCUCACUGGCCUCCAAGUUUUCUAGGAUGAUGCAAUGUGCAGCCAUCAACACAUCUGUGAAGGAAUUUUUUCUCCCCAAAAGAGCACCCCCCCCCCCCCCCCCCAUGGCAGGAGAAAAAGUCAAGUUUUUCCAGCCCAUCGCUUAAUGGCUCAAACGCAUUUCUCUCCCGCUAAAACCAAAAGGAGGAGCAACUUACCAUUUGGAUAUGUCCUAGCUGUGUUUUUGCCCUCACUCAUGGUCCAGAGUUUUUUCAAAUAGGACAUGUAGUUUGUCUGCAGCGAGCGUUUUGGUAGAAACUGUGCCUCCCAUUCAUUAUAAUGGGAAAUGACCAAAGACAGGUGCGCACACCAUCUUUGGACCUUGACUUUGACGUCACAGUUUGAGAUACAAAUGUUAUUUGACCUCUGACCUUUGGUGGACACCCUAACCUUUCAACCCGCGAAAACGGCGUUUCAAUAGCUCUUACGGCUUUCCUACAAAUACACUUUGUUCAGCUACUCCUACUGUCCUUUAAGCUCUGCUUCUCAGAUCAUCAAAGAGUGUGCACGUGUGUAAUGAGCGCAUAUUGAAUGUUAAUUAUGUUAAAUAUGUUAAUUAUUAGAAGAAAAAACAACAACAGUCCUUUUGGACAAAAUUUCCUUUUAUUACAGAAUUAGAAUAAUGGAAGCAUAGUCCAAGGAAACCAUUCAAGUGAUGUCAUACCUCAUAAUUUAUUGAGAUGUUGGCUAGUCUGGGCAUUUCUUCAUUCAUCAGGUUUCCUGCAUGCAUACUAACAGAGCACAUCAGUAGCAGUGAGUGAUAAGUAUGAGUGUGUCAUUGUGUAAGAAAGAAAGUGGUUUACUUACACAUCCAUAGAAAAUAGGUGGUUGAGCACAGCACGCAAACAAAGCUUUGCCACAACGGUUGAACUUCCCAAGUAGCUGAUACCAAGGUCACGCAAUCAUGGUGAGCAAAGGUCAAACCAGGCCAGGCACUCACGAGGCUGGCUGUGGCAAGUGUAAGUGAAAGCAACACGCAAUGGCAGGAAGAACAGCAAACACCGAUGAAGGAAAAGGGUCUUUGCAGUGAUGGGCGUCACCAGAGAGGGCGAUGGCCAGAGGGCACGAAUGGGACGGGGAGGCGGUCGCGCUGGGGGCGGCGCGAUGCGGCUCGGGCCCGCCAGUGCCCCAACGGGGCCCUAGUUAUUUUUCUGCCCCUUUGAACUGGAAAAUGGCCCACUUCCCACUGGUGAAAACUCAUGAAAUUUGGCAGGACGACCGGGCCUGGUGAAAAAUUCGAUAUUCUGAAGUCAACCAAACAAUUAAAUGCAAAAUGGCUCCAUAGCGCCCCCUAAGGUGAAAAAUUCACAUGAUUGAGUGUCACGCCUGUACGCUUUGUCAAAAUGACACAAAAUUUGACACACACGUGUAUCUCAAUAAGAUCUACAAAAAAGUCAGUGCGGGCGUAUCUGUCAAAUGUACGGUUAAAGGGUUAUUUCGCAUUUUUUGCCGAUCCGCACACAUUGGAAUUUCGCUAACUCCUCCUAAAUCUUUUGUCCCAUCGGCUUCAAAUUUGCUCAGGUCAAUCUACACCCCAUGGCCAUUCAAAGUUGUACAAAUCAUGACGCUGCACCCCACAGUUUACGUUCUAGGGGGCGCCAAAGAGGACCCAAAUAUCCACAUUUUUAAAAGUCUUAUAACUUUUUAUUUUUGUCCUCACUGGCCUCCAAGUUUUCUAGGAUGAUGCAAUGUCCAGCCAUCAACACAUUUGUGAAGGAAUUUUUUCUCCCCAAAAGAGCGCCCCCCCAUGGCAGGAGAAAAAGUCAAGUUUUUCCUGCCCAUCGCUCAAUGGCUCAAACGCAUCGCUCUCUCUGCAAAACCGAAAGGAGGAGCAACUUGCCAUUUGGAUAUAUACUAGCUGUGUUUGUGCCCUCACUCAUGGUCCAGACUUUUUUCAAAUAGGACAUGUAGUUUGUCUGCAGCGAGCGUUUUGGUAGAAACUGCGCCUCCCAUUCAUUAUAAUGGGAAAUGACCACAGACAAGUGCGCACACCAUCUUUGGACCUUGAGUGUGACGCGAUCGGGAGGGGGAGGCGGUCGCGCUGGGGGCGGCGCGACGCGGCUCGGGCCCGACAGUGCCCCACCGGGGCCCUAGUUAGGGCCCGAGCGUAGCUGCUAAGCAGCUGCGAGAGCCCUCUUGUUCCUGAUGGAUUCUUCUUUAGGGCCCGAGCGUAGCUGCUAAGCAGCUGCGAGAGCCCUCUUGUUCCUGCAUGUUUCCUUCUUUUGUUAUUAUUAGGGCCCGAGCCAGCUGCAGAGCAGCCGGGCGUAGGCCCUAUUAUUCCCCAAGUGGUUUUUCUUUGUUUCUUUGUUUAGGGCCCGAGCGUAGCUGCUAAGCAGCUGCGAGAGCCCUAUUAUUCCCCAAGUGGUUUUUCUUUGUUUCUUUCUUUCUUUAGGGCCCGAGCGUAGCUGCUAAGCAGCUGCGAGAGCCCUAUUAUUCCCCAAGUGGUUUUUCUUUGUUUCUUUCUUUCUUCUUUUUCCUCCCCUUUGAACUGGAAAAUGGCCCACUUCCCACUGGCGAAAACUCAUGAAAUUUGGCAGGAUGAUCGGGCCUGGUGAAAAAUUUGAUAUUCCGAAGUCGCCCAAACAAGAAAAUGCAAAAUGGCUCCAUAGCGCCCCCUAAGGUGAAAAUUCACACUAUUGACUGUCACGCCUUUACGCUUUGUCAUAUUGACACAAAAAUUGACACACACAUGUAUCUCAAUAAGAUCUACAAAAAAGUCAGUGCGGGCGUAUCUGUCAAAUGUACGGUUAAAGGGUUAUUCCGCAUUUUUUUCCGAUCCACACACAUUGGAAUUUCGCUAACUCCUCCGAAGGCUUUCGUUCCACCGGCACCACAUUUGCUCAGGCCAAUCUACACCCCAUGGCCAUUAAAAGUUAUUCAAAUCAUGACGCUGCACCCCACGGUUUAGGUUCUAGGGGGCGCCAAAGAUAACCCUAAAAUCCACAUAUUUAAAAGUCUUAUAACUUUUUAUUUUUGACCUCACUGGCCUCCAAGUUUUCUAGGAUGAUGCAAUGUCCAGCCAUCAACACAUUUGUGAAGGAAUUUUUAAUCCCCAAAAGAGCGCCCCCCCAUGGCAGGAGAAAAAAGUCCAUUUUUUCUUGUCCCCUAAGGUGAAAAUACACAUUGUUGAGUGUCACGCCUGUAUGCUUUGGCAAAAUGACACAAAAAUUGACACACACAUGUAUCUCAAUAAGAUCUACGAAAAAGUCAAUGCGCGCAUAUCUGUCAAAUGUACGGUUAAAGGGUUAUUCCGCAUUUUUUGCUGAUCCGCACACAUUGGAAUUUCGCUAACUCCUCCGAAGGCUGGCGUUCCACCGGCACCACAUUUGCUCAGGCCAAUCUACACCCCAUGGCCAUUCAAAGUUAUUCAAAUCAUGACGCUGCACCCCACGGUUUAGGUUCUAGGGGGCGCCAAAGAUAACCCUAAAAUCCACAUAUUUCAAAGUCUUAUAACUUUUUAUUUUUGUCCUCACUGGCCUCCAAGUUUUCUAGGAUGAUGCAAUGUCCAGCCAUCAACACAUUUGUGAAGGAAUUUUUACUCCCCAAAAGAGCGCCCCCCCAUGGCAGGAGAAAAAAGUCCAUUUUUUCUUGUCCCCUAAGGUGAAAAUACACAUUGUUGAGUGUCACGCCUAUACGCUUUGUCAAAAUGACACAAAAAUUGACACACACAUGUAACUCAAUAAGAUCUACGAAAAAGUCAAUGCGCGCGUAUCUGUCAAAUGUACGGUUAAAGGGUUAUUCCGCAUUUUUUGCCGAUCCGCACACAUUGGAAUGUGGCUAACUCCUCCGAAGGCUUUCGUUCCACCGGCACCACAUUUGCUCAGGCCAAUCUACACCCCAUGGCCAUUAAAAGUUAUUCAAAUCAUGACGCUGCACCCCACGGUUUAGGUUCUAGGGGGCGCCAAAGAUAACCCUAAAAUCCACAUAUUUAAAAGUCUUAUAACUUUUUAUUUUUGUCCUCACUGGCCUCCAAGUUUUCUAGGAUGAUGCAAUGUCCAGCCAUCAACACAUUUGUGAAGGAAUUUUUACUCCCCAAAAGAGCGCCCCCCCAUGGCAGGAGAAAAAAGUCCAUUUUUUCUUGUCCCCUAAGGUCAAAAUUCACAUUGUUGAGUGUGACACCUGUACGCUUUGUCAUAUUGACACAAAAUUUGACAAUCACGUGCCUUGCCUGGUAUCAUUUUUUUCAAAUUCACACACAAAACAUAAAAUCCGAGUGGAAAAAAGUAACAUUUUUACUGUGAAAACCACAAAUAUGUGUGAUGAACUGUUUUUAAAACUUAAACUUCAAAUAAAAAUUGUAAACUUCAAAACAUAUGCAAAUUUUUAACAAAGAACAUAGUGAUUUACCUCUAUUUACAUCAAAAUGCAGGCAAUGGCCCAGGCGUUCUUUGUAAAAUUAUUUACAAAACACUGUAUAGUCUCACAAAUGUCACUUUUUAUUUAUGCCACUACAAAAAAACAUGAUGUAAAUGAUGCAUGAUGUAAAACAUGAUGUAAAAAACUUGCGUAGAUCCUCCUCUAUGUCAGUCCAUGUGUAAUUUUUCCAUAAUUCUUUGUUUUUUGCAGCAUUUUUGUUAGUGUAACUGCAGAUUGUGCUGACAGUGUCUAUGGCAAAAAAAAAAAAAAACUGAAAAUGCCUCAACAUGAACUCCUGGUGGUCUCUGAGGGUGAAACCUGCUAACUGCUGCAGCUCUCUCAGCUCUAGUCUCCCAUGCAGAGCUCGGAGCGCAUGUGUGGCUCUGCACCCUUAGCAGCGUUGCUAACUCCUCAGUAAGGAAAGCCUGCUUCAUGUCAGAGUCUCUAAACUCCAGAGGAAGUCGAUAAAAUUCCCUUUCUUUCUAAAAAAAAGUCGUUAGGGGGUCUGAAAAGUCAUUGAAUCUAACAACAAAGUCGCUAGGUUUGCAACUACGUUUCCCAGACUGCAUCCCUGCUGAGAGUUCCUCCCUCCCUUCUCAUAUUGCAGGAAGAACGUAAGCGCCCGCCCCUUGUCAAUCAGUCACCAUAUAAUUUUGGAUUGGUUGUUGUGGUGAAGUUUUCCACCAAUAGGAGAGAUGUUGUGGUGUGUUUUUUUUUUCUUUUGGCAUGCCUUUUCCGCCUGUAAGAGCUGUCGCUAAUGUCUGCAUGCUAUGUUUUCCUGUC
RNAcentral lists this long non-coding RNA (10601 nucleotides) under Xyrichtys novacula (pearly razorfish). Lineage: Eukaryota; Metazoa; Chordata; Actinopteri; Labriformes; Labridae. The record is from RNAcentral.